RNAcentral lists this ribosomal RNA (242 nucleotides) under uncultured bacterium. Its description in RNAcentral is "partial 16S ribosomal RNA". It matches the Rfam family "Bacterial small subunit ribosomal RNA", at positions 64 to 334 of the family's 1533-position model. The record is from RNAcentral.
GAACGAUGCCUUCGGGCAUAGUGGCGCACGGGUGCGUAACGCGUGGGAAUCUGCCCUUGGGUUCGGAAUAACAGUUAGAAAUGACUGCUAAUACCGGAUAAUGACGUAAGUCCAAAGAUUUAUCGCCCAAGGAUGAGCCCGCGUAGGAUUAGCUUGUUGGUGAGGUAAAAGCUCACCAAGGCGACGAUCCUUAGCUGGUCUGAGAGGAUGAUCAGCCACACUGGGACUGAGACACGGCCCAG